Molecule: long non-coding RNA, 2665 nt
Filed under: Gossypium barbadense (sea-island cotton)
Lineage: Eukaryota; Viridiplantae; Streptophyta; Magnoliopsida; Malvales; Malvaceae
Description: long non-coding RNA (GBAR_LNC019562)
Source: RNAcentral
GUAGGUCCUCGUGUGCGAGCAACCUGAAGAGCUCCUCUUUCAUAAUGGUGAUUCUGGCCCUAUCCACACUGUCUAUCACCACGAUAACAGCAUGAGUUCCACGAUAGUAUGUUGCCCACGAUGUCCGUAGUCGGUCUUGCCCACCAAGGUCCCAUACCUGAGGCAAAUACAAACUUUUAGGUGCCCAGCAGAUACCUAAAAUCUGAAUGAAACCAUUAUAUUCACUAUCCAGUUUGUUCUUAAGACAAAUCUUAAAUAUAGAAAGGGCUGCUUCAAAAUUGGAUCUUUAUAAAGGACAAGCUGAAGAUCAUAGCAAGAAUAAGAUCCUGAUGCAAAUAAUUGAAGUCGAUGCUUGCUAGCUAAACUACUGCAUUCUGCAGUUAAGUUACUCGAACUAAAUGAGAAAGAAACAGUAACUCAACAAAGACGAUUAUAUUAAUGAAAAUGAUGGAAAGCAAAGAAUGGAGUGAGAACAGAAUCACCAAAUCAGCAUAGUAAACAAAGACAGCCUGUCCAAUUCAUCUUAUUUAAAGUGUCUCCAUCUCUUUACUUCAUGGCACAUAUACAUACAUGGAUAAACAAUUUCAUGUCAUUUCAUUAUCUGUAUAGAGAAAAAAAUCUCUUAAAAGGCUGAUUGAAUCUUAACUCGGUUGACGUUGUUGUUGUUGCAACAACCUGGAGAACGUAGGUUCGAAUGCGCUUAAAUGCAUAAUAUCCUCCACUUAAAGGAUCAGAGGUUAUGGGCAGUUUAGGCUUUGUAUCAAAAGGGAAAAAAAAAAAGGUCUCUUAAAAGAACCUAUGACAUAAGCAGGAUAAAUAUUCACAUCAUAUAAGGCAGUAGUAUGUUUUACUGAAAUCACAUAAUGCACUUUCCAUCAGAACUAGUAAAAUGAGCUUAUAGGUUUCUAAGUAGGUAGUACCAAAGCUCUUGACAGUUGACACACCCUACAGGAAAUUAGAAAACAAAUCUGUGAUACAUCAUAGUUGUAUAACCCGGGGUUUCAAAUCAUAAUGGUGUUGCAUUUGCUAUUUCAAGGCUGAGACACCCAUCCACCACCACUAAAAAAGCCUCAAUAGCAUUGUGAAAAAAAUAAUUCACAUAAAUUGUGGUUGAUUGCAGUUGCAAAUGCAGUUUAGCAGAAAUUAACUGAGAUAAAGGUUCACUAUUUCCAUUAAACUGAUACCCUUUAAAAGGAAAUUCUUGUCCUUUAACAAAGUAAAGAGAGAUAGAGUAUGAAAUAAGAUACAGUAACAAGUAGUGGGAUCGAAAACAAAAUAUCAAAACAUGUUGGAGAGAUGCAGAGCGAGAGACCACAUAACACAAACCAGGCCAAAACUCAAAAACUCAUGGUUCAAGCGGAAAUCUACGAGUUUAGGUUGUCGAGAACUAUCUUGUUGACUUUCUAUUUAUAGUCUUUGGUUUGCUUGUUGAAUACUUCAAGGCAGGAGGGAACUCAGGUCAAGGACUAGAGCAGGAGGAGGAGACGGGCAGGCGGUAUAAGCAGACCUGAGACAGGAUAGGAGGAGAAGAACGAAAAGAGAUGCACAAAAGAAAAAGAAGAGCGAGGUGGUGGUAGGGCCUGUGAGGGCCUUGAGAUUUUAGGGGGGUUUGGAUAGGAGGUUGUCAUUGGUGAAGUUCAAUAUGAAUUUAAUGGUUUUUGUAUUGGAGUUCCAAAAAUGAAUUAUCAACAGGUGAUCAGAGAAAGUGGCAGUGGACAUCUCCCUAGGCAUUUGGACUGAAUUUGAAUCUAGGAGUCAUCACUAUUGGGAGGGCUUUACCUGAAUACCACUCUGGCCUGAACAAGAUUUAGGGGGAUUUGGAUAUGAGGGGUUGUCAUUGAUGAAGUUUAUAUUUGAAUUUAAUGCUUUUUGUAUUGGUGAAGUUCAAAAGACAAAUUACCAACAGGUGAUCAAAAGAAGUGGCGCGGUACUUCUUCCCCCGGGCAUUUAGAUUAAGUUCAAAUCUUAGAGUCAUCACUAUUGAAAGGGCUUUACUAAAUACUACUUUGGUCCAAACAAAAUUAAGCUCGAACCUUAAAACGGAUGAGAGCACUUGCAGUUAUGCAAAAAAAAAGAGAGCUCCAAAAACGAACUUCUGAAUACUUAGCAUCAAAAGCUAUGUACUAACCGACUUCCCUUCAAAUGUGUGGAUUCAUUUCAUAACGCUCAUAAAACAAAAUCACAAUUAUGAAGAUAUUCACCAUGGUUCACAAUCAGCAAAAAACCCAUUUGAUUGGCUACAUAAUCAUGGCAUGAAAACUAAACAAAAUAUUUCCAAGUUUUAAACCUAUUUUAUUCAACCCCACAAACCUUUUCUCCAAGUCUAAAAGAAUCUACUAAGAAGAUUUCAAACCAUUUAACAACGCACUAAUACAUUAACAGGCCCUUUGAGUUUUGAACUUAUAAUCCACCAAUUUUUUCCACGAAAAUAAAAAACAAAUUCAAUAAAAUUAAUUAAAAUGAAAACUCGGAAAUUAAAUAAUUGAGAAACCGUAAAUAGCAUCUAAAAAUUAAAAAAAGAAAGAAAGAAUACCUCGAAACGGAUGUUUUUAUAAACAAGCUCUUCAACGUUGCUGCCAACAGUAGGAUGGGUAGUAACAACCUCACCAAGGUGAAGCUUGUAAAGCGUCGUCGUUUUGCCAGCAUUAUCUAACCCAACCACCAC